AUGAGGAGGCGCUCGGUCGCUCUACUCCUCCUUGUCGCGGCCACCUACCUCCCUGUAUCGAUCGCCACCGACACCAUCGACCUGACCGCGUCCAUCGCCGGCAACCAGACGCUGCUGUCCGCCCGUGGAGCAUUCAGGUUAGGCUUCUUCAGCCCGCCCGGCAGCCCCGCCGGCAGGACCUACAUCGGCAUUUGGUACGCACGCAUCCCAGUACAGACCGUCGUGUGGGUCGCCAACCGCCAGAACCCGGUCGUCCAAUCCCCGGGCGUCCUCAAGCUCUCCCCCGACGGCCGCCUUGUCAUCGUCGACGGCCAGAACACUACCGUUUGGUCCUCCUCGGCGCCCACCGGAGACGUGACCACCAAGGCCACGGCUCAGCUUCUCGACAGCGGCAACUUGGUCGUGAGCUCCGAUGGAAGUGGAUCGAGCCAGAGCGUGGCAUGGCAGAGCUUCGACUACCCGACGGAUACGCAGCUCCCGGGCAUGAAGGUCGGGGUGGAUCACAGGAGUGGCUUCGCCUGGAACAUGACGUCGUGGAGCAGCCCCGCCGACCCCUCCCCGGGGCAGUACACGGUCAAGCUGAUCACCGGCGGACUGCCUGAGUUCUUCCUCUUCCGCGGCCCGGCGAAGAUCUUCACGACCGGGCCAUGGAACGGCGUGGUGCUCACCGGCGUGCCGGAGCUCAAGACCGAGGCGUACACAUUCGUGCUCGUGUCAAACCCCAACGAGACGUACAGCACCUACUACAUCAGCUCCCCGUCUCUGCUGACGCGGCUCGUCGUGGAAGGCUCGACGGGGCUGCUGCAGCGGUACGUGUGGGCCGACGGCGCGUGGAACAACUUCUGGUACCACCCGACCGACCCGUGCGACAGCUACGCCAGGUGCGGCCCUUUCGGUUUCGCCUACUGCGACACCGCGCAUUCGCCGGAGUGUAGCUGCUUGCCGGGGUUCCAGCCGCGGUCACGGAAGUGGAGCUUCAGGGACGGCUCCGGCGGCUGCAUCAGGAAGACCAAGUUGAGCUGCGGGGACGGCGACGGCUUCUGGCCAGUGAACAAUAUGAAGCUGCCGGAGGCGACUAACGCGACGGUGCACGCCGACAUGACGCUGGACGAGUGCAGACAGUUGUGCCUGGCCAACUGCAGCUGCAGAGCCUACUCCGCCGCGAACAUCAGCGGGGGCGUCAACCGCGGGUGCGUCAUUUGGGCCACCGAUCUGCUUAACAUGCGGCAGUAUCCGGCGGUCGUGCAGGACCUGUACAUCCGGCUCGCGCAGUCAGAUGUGGAUGCCUUGAACGUCUCAGCUGCAGGUAAGCGCCGACGCACCUUGGUGAUCGCCGUCGCCGCGGCUAUUUCCGGCGCGCUUCUUCUGGCAGCCGCUGGCUGCUUAUGUUUCUGGAGAUGCAAGGCGAGGAGGAAGCGUCAGCUUCAGGCGCCAGGCAGUGGAGACAAUGUGCUUCCAUUCAGGACCAGAAAACACCCUGAUUUGAGCCCAGCAAGGGAGGACGAUGAGAACAAGAUGAGCUGUGGCGAAGACGAUCUCGACCUUCCGUUGUUCGAUCUCGCCGUGAUCCUCGCCGCCACGGACAACUUCGCGGCGGAGAGCAAGCUUGGAGAAGGAGGAUUUGGCCCUGUCUAUUUGGGAAGGCUUGAGGAUGGGCAAGAAGUAGCUGUGAAGAGGUUGUCCAAGAAAUCAUCACAAGGUGUGGAGGAAUUCAAGAACGAGGUGAGGCUAAUCGCCAAGCUCCAGCACAGGAACCUGGUGAGGCUGCUCGGCUGCUGCAUCGACGACGAUGAGAGGCUGCUCGUGUACGAGUUCAUGCACAACAACAGCCUGGAUACCUUCAUAUUUGAUGAUGCAAAGCGUAAGUUGCUAGGAUGGAGCAAGCGCUUUGAGAUCAUUCUGGGGAUCGCGCGGGGUCUGCUCUAUCUCCACGAGGAUUCGAGGGUCAGGAUCAUCCACAGGGAUAUGAAAGCGAGCAACGUGCUGCUGGACAGGAACAUGGUCCCCAAGAUAUCGGACUUCGGCAUCGCGAGAAUGUUCGGAGGCGACCAGACAACGGCGUACACCCUGAAGGUCAUCGGGACAUACGGUUACAUGUCUCCGGAGUACGCCAUGGACGGCGUGUUCUCCGUCAAAUCCGACAUCUACAGCUUCGGCGUCAUGGUGCUGGAGAUCGUCACCGGCAAGAAAAUCCGAGGCUUCUACGACGCCGAGCUCGAUCUAAACCUCUGCGGCUAUGCGUGGAUGUUGUGGAAGGAAGGCAGGAGCACGGAGCUCCUGGACGAUGCGAUGGGCAGCAGCUGCGAUCACAGCCAGGUGCGGAGGUGCAUACAGGUUGCUCUCAUGUGCGUCGACGUGCAGCCUAGGAACAGGCCGAUGAUGUCCUCGGUUGUCAUGAUGCUGGCCGGCGAGAACGCCACGUUGCCGGAGCCAAAUGAGCCCGGCGUAAACCUGGGGAGGAACAGGACAGAUACAGGGUUUUCUGAAACUCAAAGUGAGUUCACUGUGACUACGACAGAUACAGCUCACAGCAAAAGUUAG
This 2541-nucleotide ribosomal RNA is filed under the name Triticum aestivum (bread wheat). RNAcentral describes it as "partial small subunit ribosomal RNA". The record is from RNAcentral. Lineage: Eukaryota; Viridiplantae; Streptophyta; Magnoliopsida; Poales; Poaceae.